This 61-nucleotide ribosomal RNA is filed under the name Fusarium sp. 6243. Its description in RNAcentral is "partial 28S ribosomal RNA". The record is from RNAcentral. Lineage: Eukaryota; Fungi; Ascomycota; Sordariomycetes; Hypocreales; Nectriaceae.
GUUGACCUCGGAUCAGGUAGGAAUACCCGCUGAACUUAAGCAUAUCAAGCAUGGGAGGAAA